UAUGAGGGUAUGCUUGAAUUUAUUAAUCCUUUUUUAAUUAAGGUCGUGGGGUAUAUGUUCGACAUGUGAGAAAGGGAGUGGAACUUCCAGAGAUCGACAGGGACGACCAUUAUGACUUCAACUUUCAGGAGUACCGUUCUCUCAGGAGGGAGGUAACAGUCUUACCGGGAGAUUCCUUAACAACAGUCUGUCAAUACCGGACAGGAGCAAACCAGACAAAUGGUGGUCUUGGUACACAUAACGAAAUGUGCCUCUCUUUCCUCGCUUACUACCCGAAAAUGAAAUUAACAGGAUGAUUGUCAAAUUACGAGCCUGCCUGGGAAAAGUUUUCUGACAAAAAACAUGUGGAUUUCCCGAACCCUUC
Long non-coding RNA from Orbicella faveolata, 364 nucleotides. The record is from RefSeq and is a predicted model, not a curated record. NCBI's taxonomy places the organism in Eukaryota, Metazoa, Cnidaria, Anthozoa, Scleractinia, Merulinidae.